UACGUAGGGAGCAAGCGUUGUCCGGAAUCAUUGGGCGUAAAGAGCGCGUAGGCGGUCCGGUAAGUCGGUUGUGAAAACUGGGGGCUCAACCCUCAGACGCCGACCGAUACUGUCGGGCUAGAGUCCGGAAGAGGCGAGUGGAAUUCCUGGUGUAGCGGUGAAAUGCGCAGAUAUCAGGAGGAACACCAAUGGCGAAGGCAGCUCGCUGGGACGGUACUGACGCUGAGGCGCGAAAGCGUGGGGAGCAAACAGG
This 253-nucleotide ribosomal RNA is filed under the name uncultured bacterium. RNAcentral's name for it is "partial 16S ribosomal RNA". It matches the Rfam family "Bacterial small subunit ribosomal RNA", at positions 524 to 776 of the family's 1533-position model. The record is from RNAcentral.